RNAcentral lists this ribosomal RNA (485 nucleotides) under Capnocytophaga cynodegmi. RNAcentral's name for it is "bacterial SSU rRNA". It matches the Rfam family "Bacterial small subunit ribosomal RNA", at positions 9 to 496 of the family's 1533-position model. The record is from RNAcentral. Lineage: Bacteria; Pseudomonadati; Bacteroidota; Flavobacteriia; Flavobacteriales; Flavobacteriaceae.
GAGUUUGAUUAUGGCUCAGGAUGAACGCUAGCGGCAGGCCUAACACAUGCAAGUCGAGGGGUAGGGUGCUUCGGCACUUGAGACCGGCGUACGGGUGCGUAACGCGUGUACAAUCUACCUUUUGCUAAGGGAUAGCCCGAAGAAAUUUGGAUUAAUACCUUAUAGUAUUAUUUGGUGGCAUCAUUGAAUAAUUAAAGCUACGGUGGCAAAAGAUGAGUACGCGUCCCAUUAGCUAGUUGGAGUGGUAACGGCACACCAAGGCUACGAUGGGUAGGGGUUCUGAGAGGGAUGUCCCCCACACUGGUACUGAGACACGGACCAGACUCCUACGGGAGGCAGCAGUGAGGAAUAUUGGACAAUGGUCGGAAGACUGAUCCAGCCAUGCCGCGUGCAGGAUGACGGCCUUAUGGGUUGUAAACUGCUUUUGUAUGGGAAGAAUAAGGUCUACGUGUAGAUUGAUGACGUACCAUACGAAUAAGCUCGCA